GACGAACGCUGGCGGCGUGCUUAACACAUGCAAGUCGAACGCUGAAGACCUGGCUUUUGUUGGGUUGGAUGAGUGGCGAACGGGUGAGUAACACGUGAGUAACCUGCCCUCUUCUUUGGGAUAACGCCCGGAAACGGGUGCUAAUACUGGAUAUUCACUGAUCUUCGCAUGGGGGUUGCUGGAAAGGUUUGUUCUGGUGGGGGAUGGGCUCGCGGCCUAUCAGCUUGUUGGUGGGGUGAUGGCCUACCAAGGCUUUGACGGGUAGCCGGCCUGAGAGGGUGACCGGUCACAUUGGGACUGAGAUACGGCCCAGACUCCUACGGGAGGCAGCAGUGGGGAAUAUUGCACAAUGGGCGAAAGCCUGAUGCAGCGACGCCGCGUGAGGGAUGGAGGCCUUCGGGUUGUAAACCUCUUUCGCUCAUGGUCAAGCCGCAACUGUGGGUUGUGGUGAGGGUAGUGGGUAAAGAAGCGCCGGCUAACUACGUG
RNAcentral lists this ribosomal RNA (486 nucleotides) under uncultured bacterium. RNAcentral's name for it is "partial 16S ribosomal RNA". It matches the Rfam family "Bacterial small subunit ribosomal RNA", at positions 28 to 507 of the family's 1533-position model. The record is from RNAcentral.